RNAcentral lists this transfer RNA (72 nucleotides) under marine bacterium AO1-C. It matches the Rfam family "tRNA". Rfam says of the family: Transfer RNA (tRNA) molecules are approximately 80 nucleotides in length. Their secondary structure includes four short double-helical elements and three loops (D, anti-codon, and T loops). Further hydrogen bonds mediate the characteristic L-shaped molecular structure. tRNAs have two regions of fundamental functional importance: the anti-codon, which is responsible for specific mRNA codon recognition, and the 3' end, to which the tRNAs corresponding amino acid is attached (by aminoacyl-tRNA synthetases). tRNAs cope with the degeneracy of the genetic code in two manners: having more than one tRNA (with a specific anti-codon) for a particular amino acid; and 'wobble' base-pairing, i.e. permitting non-standard base-pairing at the 3rd anti-codon position. Lineage: Bacteria; Pseudomonadati; Bacteroidota; Cytophagia; Cytophagales; Cytophagaceae. The record is from Rfam by way of RNAcentral.
UGCGAGUUAGCUUAACGGCAGAGCACCUGGCUCAUAACCAGGGAGGUAUGGGUUCGAAUCUCAUACUCGCCA